RNAcentral lists this ribosomal RNA (466 nucleotides) under Vreelandella stevensii. RNAcentral describes it as "partial 16S ribosomal RNA". It matches the Rfam family "Bacterial small subunit ribosomal RNA", at positions 338 to 795 of the family's 1533-position model. Lineage: Bacteria; Pseudomonadati; Pseudomonadota; Gammaproteobacteria; Oceanospirillales; Halomonadaceae. The record is from RNAcentral.
CCUACGGGGUGCUGCAGUGGGGAAUAUUGGACAAUGGGCGAAAGCCUGAUCCAGCCAUGCCGCGUGUGUGAAGAAGGCCUUCGGGUUGUAAAGCACUUUCAGUGGGGAAGAAAGCCUUGGGGCUAAUACCCUCGAGGAAGGACAUCACCCACAGAAGAAGCACCGGCUAACUCCGUGCCAGCAGCCGCGGUAAUACGGAGGGGUGCGAGCGUUAAUCGGAAUUACUGGGCGUAAAGCGCGCGUAGGCGGUCUGAUAAGCCGGUUGUGAAAGCCCCGGGCUCAACCUGGGAACGGCAUCCGGAACUGUCAGGCUAGAGUGCAGGAGAGGAAGGUAGAAUUCCCGGUGUAGCGGUGAAAUGCGUAGAGAUCGGGAGGAAUACCAGUGGCGAAGGCGGCCUUCUGGACUGACACUGACGCUGAGGUGCGAAAGCGUGGGUAGCAAACAGGAUUAGAUACCCCAGUAGUC